Clarias gariepinus (North African catfish) is the source of this 258-nucleotide long non-coding RNA. RefSeq lists it as uncharacterized. The transcript has 3 exons. The record is from RefSeq and is a predicted model, not a curated record. Lineage: Eukaryota; Metazoa; Chordata; Actinopteri; Siluriformes; Clariidae.
CUCCUGGACACCAAGGGCUACGGCAUUGGCAUGCCUCUGGGCUCUCCCUUUAGAGAUGAGAUCAGUCUGGCUGUUCUACAGCUGCAGGAGAAUAACAGGCUGGAGAUUUUGAAGCAAAGGUGGUGGGAAGGAGGGCAGUGCCCCAAAGAAGAGGAUCACAGAGCCAAAGGUCUGGGAAUGGAGAAUAUUGGUGGGAUCUUUGUGGUAUUGAUCUGUGGAUUGAUCAUCUCAGUGUUUGUGGCGUUGAUGGAGUUCGUG